Molecule: ribosomal RNA, 647 nt
Filed under: Stappia sp. F775
Lineage: Bacteria; Pseudomonadati; Pseudomonadota; Alphaproteobacteria; Hyphomicrobiales; Stappiaceae
Description: bacterial SSU rRNA
Rfam family: Bacterial small subunit ribosomal RNA
Source: RNAcentral
UGCAAGUCGAACGAACUCUUCGGAGUUAGUGGCAGACGGGUGAGUAACGCGUGGGAACCUACCUUUAGGUACGGAACAACAGUUGGAAACGACUGCUAAUACCGUAUGUGCCCUAUGGGGGAAAGAUUUAUCGCCUAAGGAUGGGCCCGCGUUGGAUUAGCUAGUUGGUGGGGUAAAGGCCUACCAAGGCGACGAUCCAUAGCUGGUCUGAGAGGAUGAUCAGCCACACUGGGACUGAGACACGGCCCAGACUCCUACGGGAGGCAGCAGUGGGGAAUAUUGGACAAUGGGCGCAAGCCUGAUCCAGCCAUGCCGCGUGAGUGAUGAAGGCCCUAGGGUUGUAAAGCUCUUUCAGCGAGGAGGAUAAUGACGUUACUCGCAGAAGAAGCCCCGGCUAACUUCGUGCCAGCAGCCGCGGUAAUACGAAGGGGGCUAGCGUUGUUCGGAAUCACUGGGCGUAAAGCGCACGUAGGCGGACUUUUAAGUCAGGGGUGAAAUCCCGGGGCUCAACCCCGGAACUGCCUUUGAUACUGGAAGUCUUGAGUCCGAGAGAGGUGAGUGGAACUCCGAGUGUAGAGGUGAAAUUCGUAGAUAUUCGGAAGAACACCAGUGGCGAAGGCGGCUCACUGGCUCGGUACUGACGCUGA